CUUUAGACAGAACAGAGCAAGGUUCAUUUCAUCAUGCCAUAUCUCAAACAUCAACAACCUAGGUAGCAUGCUUUCCUAAAGAUAUAGGUUCACAAGCAAACAGGUGCAAGAAAAGAAUAUAGAACAGGUACGCCAACCAUAAGGAGCAUGUUUUCAGCCAAGGUUCAUUUUUAAUUCUGAGUUUCAUUUUUAAUGAUAAGGGAUGAGAUUCAUUUAAACUCAUGAACCA
This 229-nucleotide long non-coding RNA is filed under the name Setaria viridis. RNAcentral's name for it is "long non-coding RNA (SVIR_LNC005766)". The record is from RNAcentral. Lineage: Eukaryota; Viridiplantae; Streptophyta; Magnoliopsida; Poales; Poaceae.